GGGGAGUGUGACAAGGGCUGAAGGAAGCAGAUGGAAGAGAGCUGGCCCAUGGAAAGGCAGUGUUGGUAAGUCCCUCCUGCAAGCCAGCUCAAGGACCGUUCAGAAAGCAGCUCCAAGUGUUUCCAGCAUGGUGCCCAUGAAUAAUUAACCCAAACAAAGCAACAAACAGUGUUUCCUCAUCAGCGUGCCAUGUGGACCCAGCUGCCAACGGAGGAGGAGUGUGGUGAGACUGACUCAGCUCCUGAGAGCAAUGGAUCAGUGAAAUGCCCAGGAAAAGGGAAUUUCUGCCCGGGCAAUGGAGCUGAGGUGGGCUUUGCUUAGGGCCCCAGAUGGGACAUGGGACAUCCCAGCCUCCUCCUCAGGAUUCUGCAUGCAGUUGCUGCCUUUCUUCAGAGCAGGAGGAGCUGGUUUGGUUGCUGUCCUUCAAAUGAUGCAUCUCAUCACAUGGGAAAGAGUAGGAAAAAACCACCUAGAAAGAGCCACAGGACCAGCAUAAAAAGAGGUAAAACCAACUGGAUCUAUUUGAGGCAUUUCUGCUUUUUUCCUCUGGGCCACAACCCAGUGCAGGACACUUGGGAACAGGGGCUGUGCUCUGAGUGGGUGGAAGCCACUUUUUAAAGUGGAAUUUAGAUGUUGGGGGU
RNAcentral lists this long non-coding RNA (641 nucleotides) under Zonotrichia albicollis (white-throated sparrow). Its description in RNAcentral is "lncRNA (ENSZALG00000013141.1)". The record is from RNAcentral. Lineage: Eukaryota; Metazoa; Chordata; Aves; Passeriformes; Passerellidae.